Long non-coding RNA from Cyprinus carpio carpio, 1209 nucleotides. Lineage: Eukaryota; Metazoa; Chordata; Actinopteri; Cypriniformes; Cyprinidae. The record is from Ensembl.
AUGAAACGCCAGCAACAGAUGACUUUAAUGUCUUCAUGGAUGAAAAAAAAGAAAGGAGAUAGCACAGAUGAGGUGGAGCUGCUUCAGAACAGAGAGGGUGAGAUAGGGAAAAGCAGUAGCAGCAUGACGUUACAGAGAACAGAUGAGGUGAAGCUGCUUAAAGACAGGGAGGGUGAGACAGGGAGAAGUAGCUCAGAGUUGCAGGUGAGACAGGGAACAGGCGCAAGCGAAGAAGUGCAGGUAGGCAGGCAGGAUGCUGAACCCAACCAUGCUAACCCGAAGCUCAUUGCAGUGCAGCAGAAUUUAUCAUUAUAAACAACUUAAUUAUUUCCUGGAUUUUGUAUCACCAUAGUCCCUAACUGUAUGUAAAUGGAGGAAAUGGGAUUCAAAUCGAAAACAUUUUUCCCCAUUUUGUGUCCCCCCCACUUCUCAAACCAAAGUUACACCCUUGGCGAGCCCUAUUACUUCAAAGCGGAAGUACGUCACGAGUCUACAUGCAAGUAGUCCAUUACUCUUUGGCUCCCUUUGCAGGCAUUUGUAAUAACAUGUAAUGUACAUAAAUUGUUUAUUUUGUAUUAGCCUACAUUAUGUAUUUUAACAGUGUUAUUAACCAAUCAUUAUUGCCUCGUUGUUUUUUAUAUAAUGCAUUUUAAGUCAUUUUAAAGGCUAUUGAUGGCUUAGGUCUGUUCUUAAAGCAACAACAACAACAACAACAACAACAAAAGUAUAUUAAUACUUCUUUGUAAAUUAUUAUUUGAACCCACGUAGGAGGGGACGUUCUCGCGACCUUGUGCAACGUUCCCUAAAAGUUCUCUAAAGGUAACGAAAGUUCCGAACCUUUACAGAACAUUAGGGACGUUCAUGGAACGUCCUCUUUUGGUUAUGAAAGUUCUGCAGUUCAAGGUUCAUUAUAUGACUUUAGGGGGACGUUCUAUUUGGGGUAUUUUAUGGUCAUAUAGCAAACGUUACAAACGGACAUUCGGGACGUUAACAGAACGUUCUCGCAUGGUCCUCUGUUGGUCAUAUAAUAACGUUCCCAAUGUGACUUUAGGGGAACGUUCCAUACUGGUUAUUAUAUGGUCACACAACAACGUUACAAAUAUGACAAAUUAAUGAAAGCAAAUAUGUAUUAAAUGUACAUCUAAUUAAUUCAUGAAAAAUAUUAAAGAAUAAUACAAUAAGUAUAAAACUUAAAAAUAAUAACACUUA